UACAGAGGAUGCAAGCGUUAUCCGGAAUGAUUGGGCGUAAAGCGUCUGUAGGUGGCUUUUUAAGUCCGCCGUCAAAUCCCAGGGCUCAACUCUGGACAGGCGGUGGAAACUACCAAGCUGGAGUACGGUAGGGGCAGAGGGAAUUUCCGGUGGAGCGGUGAAAUUCGUAGAUAUUCGGAAGAACACCAGUGGCGAAGGCGACUUACUGGACACGUAUUGACGCUGAGGUGCGAAAGCGUGGGGAGCAAACAGG
RNAcentral lists this ribosomal RNA (253 nucleotides) under uncultured bacterium. RNAcentral describes it as "partial 16S ribosomal RNA". It matches the Rfam family "Bacterial small subunit ribosomal RNA", at positions 524 to 776 of the family's 1533-position model. The record is from RNAcentral.